Molecule: ribosomal RNA, 270 nt
Filed under: uncultured archaeon
Lineage: Archaea
Description: partial 16S ribosomal RNA
Rfam family: Archaeal small subunit ribosomal RNA
Source: RNAcentral
CAGCACCUCAAGUGGUCAGGAUGAUUAUUAGGCCUAAAGCAUCCGUAGCCGGCGCUGUAAGUUUUCGGUUAAAUCUGUACGCUCAACGUACAGGCUGCCGGGAAUACUGCAGCGCUAGGGAGUGGGAGAGGUAGACGGUACUCGGUAGGAAGGGGUAAAAUCCUUUGAUCUAUUGAUGACCACCUGUGGCGAAGGCGGUCUACCAGAACACGUCCGACGGUGAGGGAUGAAAGCUGGGGGAGCAAACCGGAUUAGAUACCCGAGUAGUAC